GUGUUUGCUUCAGCAGCACAUAUACUAAAAUUGGAACCAUACAGAGAAGAUUAGCAUGGCCCCUGUGCAAGGAUGACACGCAAAUUCGUGAAGCGGUCCAUGUUUUU
RNAcentral lists this small nuclear RNA (107 nucleotides) under Jaculus jaculus (lesser Egyptian jerboa). Lineage: Eukaryota; Metazoa; Chordata; Mammalia; Rodentia; Dipodidae. The record is from RNAcentral.